RNAcentral lists this ribosomal RNA (498 nucleotides) under uncultured bacterium. RNAcentral's name for it is "partial 16S ribosomal RNA". It matches the Rfam family "Bacterial small subunit ribosomal RNA", at positions 29 to 523 of the family's 1533-position model. The record is from RNAcentral.
AUUGAACGCUGGCGGCAUGCCUUACACAUGCAAGUCGAACGGUAACGCGGGGCAACCUGGCGACGAGUGGCGAACGGGUGAGUAAAGCAUCGGAACGUGCCCAGUAGUGGGGGAUAGCCCGGCGAAAGCCGGAUUAAUACCGCAUACGACCUAUGGGUGAAAGGGGGGGAUCGCAAGACCUCUCGCUAUUGGAGCGGCCGAUGGCAGAUUAGGUAGUUGGUGGGGUAAAGGCCUACCAAGCCGCCGAUCUGUAGCUGGUCUGAGAGGACGACCAGCCACACUGGGACUGAGACACGGCCCAGACUCCUACGGGAGGCAGCAGUGGGGAAUUUUGGACAAUGGGCGCAAGCCUGAUCCAGCCAUGCCGCGUGCGGGAAGAAGGCCUUCGGGUUGCAAACCGCUUUUGUCAGGGAAGAAAUCCUUUGGGUUAAUACCUCGGGGGGAUGACGGUACCUGAAGAAUAAGCACCGGCUAACUACGUGCCAGCCGCCGCAGUAA